UGCAAUUCGAAGGAAGGUUUCGCCCUUAGUGGCGCACGGGUGCGUAACGCGUGGGAAUCUGCCUUGGGGUACGGAAUAACUCAGAGAAAUUUGAGCUAAUACCGUAUGAUGUCUUCGGACCAAAGAUUUAUCGCCCUGAGAUGAGCCCGCGUAGGAUUAGCUAGUUGGUGGGGUAAAGGCCUACCAAGGCGACGAUCCUUAGCUGGUCUGAGAGGAUGAUCAGCCACACUGGGACUGAGACACGGCCCAGACUCCUACGGGAGGCAGCAGUGGGGAAUAUUGGACAAUGGGCGCAAGCCUGAUCCAGCAAUGCCGCGUGAGUGAUGAAGGCCUUAGGGUUGUAGAGCUCUUUUACCCGGGAAGAUAAUGACUGUACCGGGAGAAUAAGCCC
RNAcentral lists this ribosomal RNA (391 nucleotides) under uncultured soil bacterium. RNAcentral describes it as "bacterial SSU rRNA". It matches the Rfam family "Bacterial small subunit ribosomal RNA", at positions 56 to 493 of the family's 1533-position model. The record is from RNAcentral.